AUAGCGAGGCCCUAUAAAUAGGGCCUCUAUCCAAAAAAAUGGGAGAGGAGAAACCGGAUGAAGAACUUAUGGGGAAACGUAAGCCUUCUCCGCG
RNAcentral lists this non-coding RNA (94 nucleotides) under uncultured Paenibacillus sp. RNAcentral describes it as "ylbH leader". It matches the Rfam family "ylbH leader". Rfam says of the family: This family is a putative regulatory RNA structure that is found upstream of the ylbH gene in B. subtilis and related low GC Gram-positive bacteria. The record is from RNAcentral. Lineage: Bacteria; Bacillati; Bacillota; Bacilli; Caryophanales; Paenibacillaceae.